Molecule: non-coding RNA, 21 nt
Filed under: Caenorhabditis elegans
Lineage: Eukaryota; Metazoa; Nematoda; Chromadorea; Rhabditida; Rhabditidae
Source: RNAcentral
UUUGUCUGUUGUAUGGUUGUA